This is a long non-coding RNA of Lutra lutra (Eurasian river otter), 4198 nucleotides long. RefSeq lists it as uncharacterized. The record is from RefSeq and is a predicted model, not a curated record. Lineage: Eukaryota; Metazoa; Chordata; Mammalia; Carnivora; Mustelidae. The transcript has 3 exons.
UGUACUGGCUCAUUUAAUCUUCCCAACAACCCUUGAGGAGACGAUCUCACAUGUGGCUCGCAGCUGACUCCUGCAGGGGCUCAGAUAAACGAGGAGAGGACAAAUACCAGCUGGGCACCUUUACAGCAUUCUGUGUGGGUAGGGGAUGGAGCCAGAUGGACUUUCCUCAGCCUCUUUAUUUAUGGAAGGCCUCACUCACUUUCCAACAGGAAGAGAGAGGGUGGGAGGGGGCACUGGGAUGCUGUGUCCAGGGGGAGGAAACGGGAUGUAUGAGCGAGGGGGCUCUUGUGACCCACUGCGUGUGGCCGUGGUCACUGGCGCCCAUCUCUCUCUUCCAAAAGCCCUUGGUGUGUUUGGUCCCAGCAAGUGAUAAUAACAGGAGACACAACAUCUCCACGAGCCAAGCGCCCUUGUAAGUGCAGUAGGUAGCAAUCUUUUGAGGUACGUGUGCUAGCAUUCCCAUUUUACAGAUAAGGCAAGUGAGUCACAGAGAGAUUCAGGAACAUGCCCAGAUUCAUCCAGGUGUAAGUGGCAGAACGGGGACUGCAGACCCGGGCAGUCGGGCUCCAGAGUUUGCAGCCACCGUUUCUGCUGAUUUUCAAAGCAGGGGCAUCCUUGAGGCCAUCUGGCUCAGGCUGUCCCUAACUCACUCACUCCUGAACCACCUUCAGGAUCUUUGCAAAAUCUGUAUCCCACUUCUGAUGUUAUUGGCUUGACUUUUUUCUUCUCAUAAUUCACAGGUUUAGUUUAAGACAUGUAUCUUGAACGAAAUCUUGAUAUACCUACGAGAGAUAAAAAUCGGCAUCAUUUGCCAUAAAAAAUAGAACGGAAAUGUCAGAAUAAAUCCAGUGAAAACGGUACUAAAUUUUAGCCACGUACUAUUGCCCCCAGGUCCGGAGACCCCCGUGCCCAAGUUGAGGGAUGAAAAGGGAAGAGGAAGGGGAGUCACUCUCAUGGGACCUGCCCCAGGGGUAUCCUGUGUUCCCUCUAAGCCACCUUGCUUGCCCUCUGCUCUUGGAGAAAGCGGGUUUAGGACAAUGCUCCUUCUCACCCCUGAGGAGGAGAUGGAGGCUCAGGGAAGGGAGCUGCUGUGUCUGAGACCAGCACUUGGGACCCCCGACUCCUGAGCGCGAGGCCCUCUACACUCAUAUGUAGGCACAUUUUCACACAUCUCCCUGCAUCUCUCAUGUUAAUUCCCGAGUGAAUUCAUGUAGUUUAUAUGUUGACGGUGGCCCUGCCACCAACGCUUGUCCUCCCGUUCUCAUGCUUCUGAAGUAAUUCCAAACCUUGACAGAUUUGGCUGUUCUGGAGGGAGCACCAGGUCACCUGGGAAUUUGGAAUGGGGACCCCUGGAUCUAGGUGGUCUGCUGCUACUGCGGUUGGAGGCAUUUAAUCCUUCCAUCUGCCAAAGCAUCUGUACGUUGAGCCUAACAGCACUUUCUCCAUGAAGCUCAGAGCGUUGUUGUUGGGAUGCAAGUGAGGUCACAGAUUGGGAAACGCUCCGGUGGAAAACACAGCCUGACUGUGCACACUAGCAGUCACCCGAGCCCUCACGCACCCAGCGUCUGCCAGCGAUGAGAACCGUGCAGAAGUGGACGGGCAUUCGCACGGGCAGGAGAGAGGUCAGAGUUGACUUGGGCAUCUGUAGGACAUCGACCGGUCCUGCUGCACCGUGUGCCAGGGGCUCACGGGGUGUGAAAGCACGGGGACGGGACACCAGGUAGCCUGGUCGCGAACAGAUUCACAGUGUAAAAGCCGAGAAACACACAGUGUAGGCAAGGGUUGGGAUUCCUCAUGGUCCUGACCCUCAGCCUUCUUCCGACCCACGGCCAAGCAGGUUGGCUCAUCUGUGUUCCCAAAUGACUCAACUUCAGAGCUAACAGACGAGAAGGGAGCAAGCAGGGCUGUUUCUGGGGGGCAAAACUUCCUUGGUGAAGAGGAGGGGUUGGCUUAGAGGAAAAUGGUAAGAAAAUGGAGCAUUUGUGCAUUGAAGUCUGAGGGCGCCGAGUGGAGGGUUGCAAACCCUGCGUACGUCAUAGACCCUGAGGUCUGUUGUUUCGUAAAACACAGCAACACAUAACCGACCUUCAUAACGGCCUCCUGAACCCUUGCUUGGGCCCUGUGCCCAGAAUGCUCUUCCCCAUCCCUCUGCUGGCCUGACUCCUCACCUGCUUUCGGCCUCUGCUACGAUGUCCACCCCCUCAGGGAGGCCCACCCUGACCUCCCUGUUCUCAGUUAGGUUCCAUCCGGGCUCUUGGAAAAUGUUCUCUUUUUUCCUGUAGUACUUACCACCUUUGGACAUAAUAUUUGUCAUCCCCUGUCUGUCUAUCUACCUAUCUAUCACCUAUCUGCCAUCUGUCUUUCAUUUAUUAGGUCUUCUGUUUGACUCCAUCUCUAGAACACAAAUUCCCUGGGUACUAGGGCGUUCGCUUUUCUCCCACAUGGAGCUCUUUCGUGUAUUUUGAAAAUAGGGCCUUUGAUAUGUGCUUUUCACCUUCCUCUCCUGUUACCUUAUAAAGGUGUCCGUGGGUGCCCUACUUCCGGUCCUGACCCACUGAUCUGCACAUCGCAGGGUGGGCAGGCCAGGGAUGGGAAACCACAGUCCUUCUGGACAGGCUUCCUCUCGUAAACUUCCCCUGAGGACUUCCCGGCGGAAGAGCUUCUACAGACAAACAGGUUUUCUUGAUUUUUGUUGUUGUUGUUGUUUGCCAUGGACCCCAUUUUCUUCCAAAUUUCCGUAUUUCUUCCUAUUCUUUUAGAAGUGAUUUAGAAGGUCUGUAAGCAGGAUGCCCGUGGCAGGAUGGGAAUCAAGAGCAAAGACAAUAAAUACAGUGAAAGGAGAAGUGACACUUAUCAAACCCCAGCUUCACACCCCACACUGGGUGCUUCACUAGGGCACCCAGUCUUCCCCGCCAUGCUGGGCGGGAAGAGUCGUGAUUCUCAUUUUCGCGGAUGCACCAACUGGGGCUCCUGGAGGUCGAGAACCUCAUCAGCAAGUGGCAGAGGGCUGCAGUGCCCUUCUAGCCCUCUCUGCCCUGAUGGCCAAUCAAGAAGUUCACCUGUGAUGCACCUGAUGAGAAUAUCCUUCUAGAAGCUUGGCUCUACCAGUUGUGGAAGACUGGCCCUGAGGACAGUCACCAGCCCUUUCCUCAAGAACCCUCUGAAGGUGGGACGUCAAGAAGGGAAAUGCUUUACCCCAGGUCUCACUACCUUUACUUAGCGCUGGGGCCUGGAUUCAAAUCAAGAUCCUCUUCUUCUCAAUCCCAUGCUCUUCCCAUUUAAUGUCAUAACCUGGCUUGAGUUGGGUAGGUCAAGAAUAGUGAGCCGGUGGCUGACGAGGAGCUCCCUGUCCUCUGCCUCCAGUACCGGCCUCUGAAAGGGGGAUGUUUGCAGAUCUUCACCUGCUGCUGAAUACUCAGUGUUCAUUUUUUCUUGCUCCAUGAGUCCAGUGAAUGUGGCUGAGUCCACACUUGUCCCUAAGGGCUCUGGGACUGUUGGGCAUUAAGGAUUUCUUCAACUAUGUAGGUAGGCUUCCUUCUCUAGUCUUCAGGUUUUUAGUGUUUGUGUUUGGACAGCAUGUGAGAGGAAGUUGAUGGGAUAUUUACCCAAAGACAGGACACUUUCCAAGGACUAAGAUGCUGCUAGAAGCUCUGUCAAGCCUGGACCUCUGGGGUCACUGGUGACAGGACCAGAGCAUUUCAGUCGUCCAACAGCCACUCUCUGCCAUGUCCCUGCUCAGGGAGAGGACAGUCAAAUGCGGGACUAUGCAAUGGGGCCUCGCAGUCCCAGGGACCAUGCUUGGGGGCGUUUGGCUGGUUGUUGGUGCCAGCAGGAUGGAGUUUGCAAGACUGAGAUGUGACCCAAGUUUCUGUUUGAGGCCUUCUUUGUGGGCUUUCUCGGAGCACACUGGGGUCCCCAUAACUGGUUGCCUGUCCAUACUCCUGUUCUUUGUGGCCUGGCGCUCCUGGGCUGUGCAAAUAUCAAACAUGAUGGUUGAAAGCAAGAGCCCUGGAAUAUGACAAACUGAGCUUUGAUUCCUAGCCACUUCGUUGCUGUGUCACCUUGGAUACGUUACUUAACCUUUCUGCAUCAUAGCUUUCUCAUCUGCGAAAUGGAGCUAAUAUUGCUGAUCUGAUAAGGUUAUAUGAGAUAAGGUUAUAUGAGGUUAAAGUACUCAGUGCUGGCACAUAAUAGAUGC